RNAcentral lists this long non-coding RNA (1359 nucleotides) under Citrus sinensis (sweet orange). RNAcentral describes it as "long non-coding RNA (CSIN_LNC000774)". Lineage: Eukaryota; Viridiplantae; Streptophyta; Magnoliopsida; Sapindales; Rutaceae. The record is from RNAcentral.
AAAAAAAAAAAAAAAAAAAAAAGAACAUUCUCGUCACUCCUAAAUCCAGUAGCACGAUCGUGACUUUUCCAACAACAAUCAACGACAGUUGAUGGGCGUUUGACAGAAGCUUUUUCUCUGACAUUAUGUGGUUGUAUUUCCGACACUUAGACGACAGCUGGAUGGGAGGUUGAUGCAAGCUUCAUCUCCAAAAGCAAGUUUUUUUUUCGUUUCAUUAAGAUUAUACUGUAUUUGAAUGUAAUUAAGUGUAUAUUUCAUGAUAGAUGAGUAUUAGGUUAAUUUUUUAUGAAUUUUGAAAAAUAUUUAAUGAGAUUAUAGUUUGAGAAAAAUGGCAUAUGAGGUGUUUGUUGAGAUGCCUAUUAAACUUUGUUAUCUCAUUUUUGAUAGAUUAUGUCGUGGGCGAAUCCGUGCUUGGCAAAGCAUAGCAACAUGCUUACUUUGAUUUUGAGCAACAAGUGCUUGUCGCCUGGGAGACAGGUGUCUGUCAGUCAAAAUUACAUUAAUAUGUUUGUUGUGAUUUUGUGCAAUAGGCACCUAUGGCUUGGGAGAUAGUGCAUGUUGCUCAAAAUCAUAGCAAUACGCUUGCUUUGAUUUUGAGUGGUGGGCGUUAUCGCCCUGAAAACAAGUGCUUGUCACUUAAAAUUACAUUAACAUACUUGUUGUGAUUUCAUGAGAAGGGUGCAGGUCGCCUGUGCUCUAGGCUUCCGUCACACUAAAUCAAAGCAACACUCAUUGCACUAAAAUCACUUGCUCUGCUUUGUUGAACACGAAUUCAUAGCAAGCCACAAUAAACCCACAACACAAUCUAUCACAAAUAAGAUAAUGAAGUCUAAUAGGCACUUCAACAAACAUCUCAUAUGCCAUUUUUCUCAAAUCAUAAUCUCGUUUAAUUCUUUUCAAAAUUCAUAGUAAAUUAACCAUAAUACUCAUCUAUCAUAAAGUAUACACUCAAUUACAUUCAAAUGAUGGUCUAAUCUUAGUGAAACAAAAAAAAAAACUUGAUUUAGGAGAUGAAGCUGCUGUCAAUCGCCCAUCCAACUGCCGUCUAAGUGUUGGAAAUACAGACAGGUGAUGUCGGAGAUGAAACUGCCGUCAAACGCCCAUCCAACUAUCAUCAAUUAUUGCCAGAAAAGUUAAGACUGUGCUGGUGGAUUUGAGAGAGAAGAAAUGUUAAGUUUUUUAGGUUUUGGAAUGACAAGGGUAUUGUUGUCCAAAAAUGUUGAAAUUGGCUAUAUAAGGUAGAAAAAGUUAAAUUGACUAAUUCUAAAAGACCCUAAAUUUUUUUGGCUAUUUUUGUAAAUUUUUCAAAUAUCUAGCCCAUUUUAUCAUGGAUUCUAAUGCUUGAAUUUAUUAUGAGUG